RNAcentral lists this ribosomal RNA (249 nucleotides) under Triticum aestivum (bread wheat). RNAcentral describes it as "partial small subunit ribosomal RNA". Lineage: Eukaryota; Viridiplantae; Streptophyta; Magnoliopsida; Poales; Poaceae. The record is from RNAcentral.
UGGAAGCACUGGGUGGAGGGAACAAUCGCAGAGAUAGACCCUAGUUUGGGCAGGCACUAUCACGGAGGCGAGGUUCUGAAAUGCGUCGACAUUGGGCUGCUGUGUGUCCAACAGAAACCCACGGACCGGCCAUCCAUGUUGUCCAUCCUUGUCAUGCUCGGCAGCGACACAGUCUCUCUCGAAUCUCGAUGCCCCCUACAGGCCAGCCUAUGUCUUCGACAGGACCACGAGCUACUCAGAGACUGCUGA